CAAUCUUUGGCUUGUGCGAUAUAUUGACUUUAAUAAUAUCAUUACACUAUUUCAACGAAUUCUAUAUUUAGCUGUGGAAUACUUAUCAGUUCGUUAUCAAUGUUAAUUUGCACCUUCACUACACGGAGAAAUAAAUCUGUAUUGUAGAAGAUCUGUUUUUUUUUUACUUUUAUAAUAAUUUGUUAAUAAAAUAAUGAGUUCAAAAUUAUUUUUUAUCUUUAAACUAAAAAAUCCUGAAACAGCGGUGACUUCUAAUCAAAUAAUUAAAAGUCAUAUUACAUAAAUUAUUCUAUUGUUGGACUUAUUACGUAUAGUCUUUUCACUUUUUAUAUUUUAAAAUUUUCUUUUAGACACCCAGCUUGAAUAUUGCUAAUAGUAACAUAACAAAUAAAUUGGUUAUCGUCACUAAAGAUAAAUAAAAUAAACCUACAUAUGAAAUUACUUCUACAGGCAACUUGAAAUUUGAUUUAGGUGAUCUACAGUCUGGUCCAAAAAAAUCCAUAUUAGAGGUAAAUCAUGUAUAAAACUAACAACAUAAUAUUUACAUUGUAUGUUAAAUAUAUAUUUUAAUUACUAUUAAGCCUAUUAUAGGAACGGUGUACUUAUAUGAAUGUUCGGCAUUGGUUAUUCGUCAUCUUCCCGGCGGUUGUCAGUAUUUGUUACACGAAUCAAAAGGAUAUAAAUAUUUGGAUUUUGUUAGUUACAUAUGUAUCUCUAUACGCCUGUUAUGAAAUAAAUUUUGGGUCCAUUCUUUAUAUAUUAUACAGGGGUGUCAAAUUUAUUUGUUUAAAUGGCAGCAUACAUAUUAAACUAGUUUAUAAUAUAGAAUAUUAUCCAAUUAAGAAAAUAACUAUAGACAAUAACUUUUGGAUCAAUACUUUAAAAGUUAUUAGAAUUUUAAAAUAUAGUACUGAUGGUGAAGCAUAGUUACUGCUAUUUUUAUCAUUAGUCAUUAUUUGGUCACACUUCUUCUGCCACCUAAGUACAAAAAUUAGAAUAUCUUCCAAAGCACUAGUCUAAAAGUUCUUGUUUUAAAUUACAAAUACCAUUUCCAUUAACAUAACCAUGGCUUCAUUUUAUGAGUUAUGUGGGUCUAGAGUUCUUGCAAAUAGAAAACUAACAAAUCUGGAUGAUCAUGUUAUUAUUAUAUUACAAAAACUCAUUUAACUCUUAUUGCAAAAUAGACAAGACAUUAUAACGUAACUGUCAAAAAAACUGACACUAUUCAUACCCAGCUAAUAAGUCAAUCUAAACUAGAAUUUGCCGCAAAUAGGUAAUGUAUGAAAAGUCUAAUUGAUAUGACAAUUUUUUGAAUAUCUAAAGACUGACUUGACACAAUGAAAACAGAUCAUCAUUAAAUCAAGGGAAUUUCAACAAAACCUAUGUUUUAUUUUCCAAGAAUAUACCCAUAUUUUCUGAAAUAUUUAACAAAGAAACAAAUUACACUAGUCACCAUAUUCAAAAUGAAAUAAUUGAACCAUGUGCAAAUAGCGUAUACGAGUAAAUAGUAUAAUGUGUGAUGAAGCAAGUUUUAGAUUUUAUAAAGAAGAACAAGUGUUUAAUAUUAUUUUGAAACUUAUAAAUUAAAUAUUAAAGCUCAAAUAAUUUCACAAUCCUAUAAUGUUUGGAAUUUCAGUGGAAAUAUCAUGUCUGGAAAUUUAAUGGAGUCAAUCAAGAAUAAGAAUUGGAAACCUUAAGUUUUUUUUACUUGAUUAAAUGUAUUUACGUUCAUUUUUCUCAUCCCCAAAGAAUUGUCAAUUAGUUGAAUUGCAUAAAAACUUGGACAUAAAAACAAAAACUAUGGGCGCAUUAGUAAUAAUAGAUGGAAUUGUAGAAACUGUGAAACCAUUAAACAAUGUUUCUAGAGUAUUCUUAUUGUACUUAAAAGAGAAAUAGAAAAUUAAACUGAUAAAGUUGUCAAUAAAGCAAAAGGUAUAAUUUAUAAAUCACUAUUGUUUUUUAUCCAAUUGAUGUAGAUUUCAUUGAUAGUUGUUUUGUUAGAAUUACUCUAAACAAUUCCAAAUGAGACAUUUAUUAUAGUUUAGUUCAUUAUGCACAACAUCUUGUGUAUGAUCUUGGCUGUGCUUAAAGCAGAGACUGACAAUCAAAGUUCCACUGUUUCUAGAUAAUAAAAUGUAAAACUAAAAUAAUAACUAUUCGCUAUUGAUACAUUUAUUAUUUGUUUUAUUAUUUAUUAUUCACAAUAUUAUUUAAAUUGAUUUUUGCAAACUGGGAUGAUACUCAAAUAAUAUAUUUUCAACAGUAAUAAAUAGUUUUUUUUUUAAUUAUUAUCUACUUAUUUAAAAUAAAAGACUGUCAUGAAUUUUUAAUUUAUUUGUUCUCUCCGCAUAAUGAAUAGAUAUAAAAAUACCUUUGUAUCUUUGAAAUUUUAUACUAGGAAAGAUUAGUGUAAUAAAAGUUGGCUGUGAGUGAAAUAAGUUACUGGGAAUCGUUUCUGUGGUAUCAAAAACAUACUUUCAACAAAAUUCAAUAGUUUAUAUUUUGUAUUUUUAUAAAUAUUUUCUUCAGUUUUAAAAAUAAAUAUUGUAAAUUUUAUUUUAUUAAUUUUUUUUCUGACACAUAAUAUUUAAAAUGUAAUGUUUCACAUUAACACCAAGUUCAGUCAAAGAUGGUUCUUGGCUAAACCAAUUAUGAAUGGAAUGGGUAUUAUCUUUGAUUUGCAACAAAAAUCAAACACCACCAAUGAGAAAAUCACAAAAAUAAUUUUGUUGGCAUCCUUGGGAUUAAACUCAGGAACCU
Molecule: long non-coding RNA, 2760 nt
Organism: Daktulosphaira vitifoliae (grape phylloxera)
Lineage: Eukaryota; Metazoa; Arthropoda; Insecta; Hemiptera; Phylloxeridae
Exons: 5
Source: RefSeq, a predicted model, not a curated record